RNAcentral lists this unclassified non-coding RNA (370 nucleotides) under uncultured bacterium. Its description in RNAcentral is "contains 16S-23S intergenic spacer region". The record is from RNAcentral.
UCCCCGUUACCGAGGCAGUCUGGUUAGAAAAAUCCAACUAACCACGAGGGUUGCGCUCGUUAAGGGACUUAACCCUACAUCUCACGACACGAGCUGACGACGGCCAUGCAUCACCUGUCACUUGAUUCCCAUUGCUGGGCACUCUGGCAUUUCUGCCGGAUUCCAAGGAUGUCAAGUCUGGGUAAGGUUCUUCGCGUAGCCUCGAAUUAAACCACACGCUCCACCGCUUGUGCGGGUCCCCGUCAAUUCCUUUGAGUUUUAGCCUUGCGGCCGUACUCCCCAGGCGGGAUGCUUAACGCGUUAGCUUCGCUACUCAAAACGGGUCGAUACGUUCAAGCAGCUAGCAUCCAUCGUUUACGGCGUGGACUAC